GUUAUAGCUAGAUGGCUAG
This 19-nucleotide non-coding RNA is filed under the name Mus musculus (house mouse). Lineage: Eukaryota; Metazoa; Chordata; Mammalia; Rodentia; Muridae. The record is from RNAcentral.